RNAcentral lists this long non-coding RNA (341 nucleotides) under Prunus persica (peach). RNAcentral's name for it is "long non-coding RNA (PPER_LNC001273)". The record is from RNAcentral. Lineage: Eukaryota; Viridiplantae; Streptophyta; Magnoliopsida; Rosales; Rosaceae.
CACAUCUUAAAUGUUCAACUCAUCUGCUUUCACUUUUAUAUUAAAUUUUCAUAUUUGUUUAUCAAGUUAUGUUCACCUAAUCAGGACAGGCUUAGGAUUUUAAAUUAGAGUGGGUUAAAAACUCGACACUAUAAGUAAAUUUAAUUUAUAAAAAAAAAAAAAAACAUAAUCAGGAUGACUUAAUGAGUUUUACCCCUUAAAACACAUCUAGUACACAUCUCUUUUCUAUUUUAUUCGGAUGUGUAAAUUAAAACGGGGUUAUUUUCUAUAUUUAAAAAAAUUACAGGAGUUGUUUUCGACUUCGACCAAAAAAUAAAAGAGGCAGGAGUUUGUGUUUUGCC